This 304-nucleotide ribosomal RNA is filed under the name bacterium enrichment culture clone ALO1_GLFRUDD03FOYWA. RNAcentral describes it as "bacterial SSU rRNA". It matches the Rfam family "Bacterial small subunit ribosomal RNA", at positions 9 to 310 of the family's 1533-position model. The record is from RNAcentral.
GAGUUUGAUCCUGGCUACAGAUUGGAACGCUAGGCGGCAGGCCUAACCACACUGCAAGUCGAGCGGAUGACGGGAGCUUGCUCCUUGAUUCAGCGGCGGACGGGUGAGUAAUGCCUAGGAAUCUGCCUGGUAGUGGGGGACAACGUUUCGAAAGGAACGCUAAUACCGCAUACGUCCUACGGGAGAAAGCAGGGGACCUUCGGGCCUUGCGCUAUCAGAUGAGCCUAGGUCGGAUUAGCUAGUUGGUGGGGUAAUGGCUCACCAAGGCGACGAUCCGUAACUGGUCUGAGAGGAUGAUCAGUCA